CAAGAAAUAGUUUAAUUAAAAUUUUAAUUUUGGAGAUUAAAGAUGGGAAUUUCCUUUUCUUGA
This 63-nucleotide transfer RNA is filed under the name Enneaphyllus aeneipennis. Its description in RNAcentral is "tRNA-Pro". The record is from RNAcentral. Lineage: Eukaryota; Metazoa; Arthropoda; Insecta; Coleoptera; Cerambycidae.